Molecule: ribosomal RNA, 325 nt
Organism: Sus scrofa (pig)
Lineage: Eukaryota; Metazoa; Chordata; Mammalia; Artiodactyla; Suidae
Rfam family: Eukaryotic small subunit ribosomal RNA
Source: Rfam
CCUAGUAAGAAAUGACAGCAACUUCAUGACUCAAACCACCCCUGGAAAAUAAAGGAUCUCGGGGCAUGGAUGAACAGUAAGUUAUCUUGAUAGAAUAUGAAAUCCUGUCCAUUACUUUGAAACAACGAGAGUGUUCAAAGCAGGCCCUAGCCACUUGGAUGCCACAGCCGGGACCACGGUUCCGCUCUGCAGGUUUCGGAACUGAGGCCGUGAUCAAGAGGGACAGCAGGGGCAUUCCUAUUGCACUGCCAGAGGUGAGAUUCUGGGACUAGCGCAAGAAGGACCACAGCAAAAGCAUUUGCCAAGGAUGUUUUCAUUAAUCAAG